AGGACGAACGCUGGCGGCGUGCUUAACACAUGCAAGUCGAGCGGUGAUCCUCCUUCGGGAGGUGGUCAGCGGCGAACGGGUGAGUAACACGUGGGCAACCUGCCCCUCACACUGGGAUAACCUCGGGAAACCGGGGCUAAUACCGGAUACGACCUCGAGCGGCAUCUCUUGAGGUGGAAAGCUCCGACGGUGAGGGAUGGGCCCGCGGCCUAUCAGCUUGUUGGUGGGGUAAUGGCCUACCAAGGCGACGACGGGUA
RNAcentral lists this ribosomal RNA (257 nucleotides) under uncultured bacterium. Its description in RNAcentral is "partial small subunit ribosomal RNA". It matches the Rfam family "Bacterial small subunit ribosomal RNA", at positions 26 to 285 of the family's 1533-position model. The record is from RNAcentral.